RNAcentral lists this ribosomal RNA (253 nucleotides) under uncultured bacterium. Its description in RNAcentral is "partial 16S ribosomal RNA". It matches the Rfam family "Bacterial small subunit ribosomal RNA", at positions 524 to 776 of the family's 1533-position model. The record is from RNAcentral.
UACAUAGGGCCCAAGCGUUGUUCGGAUUCACUGGGCGUAAAGGGUGCGUAGGUGGUGAAGUAAGUCGGAUGUGAAAUCUCGGAGCUCAACUCCGAAACUGCAUUGGAAACUACUUUGCUCGAGGGUUGGAGGGGGGACUGGAAUUCUCGGUGUAGCAGUGAAAUGCGUAGAUAUCGAGAGGAACACCAGUGGCGAAGGCGAGUCCCUGGACAACUCCUGACACUGAGGCACGAAAGCUGGGGGAGCAAACAGG